CUAGGACAACAUACUUCACAAAGUAGGUACUCACAAAAUCAAUACUAUAUUGUAGGAUAUCAGGAUCACCUCAGAGCCAUUAAAACUGUUGCCUGCACCCCUUCCUUCCAGGACCUCCCAGCCACACCCCCCCUGCCCCCCACAUCCCCGGCCACAGGCACUACCCUGGCCUUUUCAUUCUCUAAAGUCCUGCAGCCUCUCUUAUCUGUGAUAGCAGUCUUUGACACAAUUCUGGAAUCAGAGAGAAGAUAUAGUUGGGAGGGAUCUUCAGGCACAGGAAAAUCACUUCACCUCUCUGCUUUCGUUUCUUCCUUGUAAAAUGCCUUCCUUUGCUUCUUCACCAUUUCUAGAGUAUGUGUCUUAUUUUCCCAUCAAAUUCUGUGUUCAUGGAACACUUGUGCUCUGGCCUUGAAAAUCUUCUCUUUCCUACGAAGUGUGAAGCACUAUCUUUUGCACAUAGGAAGGGCUCCGUAUCCAGCUAUGAUUGAAUGAAUAGAGGAUUAAAUGUUAGAUUGCACAUAUCGGGGCUUUAUCCUGUGCUCAAAACUCUGCUGAUCACUUCACAUGCGUCGCAUAAUUUAAUCUGCUUCGCAAGCCUACUUCUAUUUUAUGCUUGUACCAAAACAUAAAGAGAUUAGUAAACAUGACCAAACCGGGAUUUGAACCCAGGUAGUCUGGCUCCUGACUUAAUUACUAUGCUGCAUGGCGGAAACAAAGGGUAGCACGUAUUGUACUGAACUCGGCUGACUUGUAGCAUGUCUUCAAAGAUUUAGAAUACGUGGGUCACUUCCUUCAGCAGGUCCAGCUGCACCUGCACCAGGGAACUUCUCACCCUUUCAGCAGGUGGACAGGAAGCCCCAGGGGUAGAGACAUGCUCAGUGAAGCGAGUGACCUACAAUUUGAGGAUGGUGGCAAUCCCAGGCACCCCUGUUGCAUAACACUCCUCUGAGAGCCAGGCCCACAUGGGACUCACCUAAACAGGCACAAGACACGGCCUUCCUGCCAACCUGCACUUCCUCUGCAGGCAGCUCAAGAGUCUCCCCUGAGCGCCGGACUUUGUCUCAUAUAUUCUGCAUCCUGGUGUUAAGUCAAGACCCCUGUACAUGUCAGAUGAACGGCCAGCUGCUCCAGGAGAACCUUCUGAAGGAAGGAGGACCAGAGUUGGAGUCAGCCGAUAAACACUUGGAAAAUACAAGGAGAGUUACACUGGGAUGGACAUUCGUACGGGGGUGGAAGGUAGCCCUCCUUUUCAUCUAAAACAUCAAUCCAAAUUAAGAGCAGGACAUCCCAAUGCUGUUCUAAAAUACUAGAAUGGAUGAAUGUCAGAUGAAGAGCCCAGAAACCUGGGUUCUUGUCCUCACUUUUUAAGUAAUUUAUCCCAUCGCAUCCCCUCUCUGAAAAGAAUGAAGUUUGGCUGUCUGAGAAGUGGGUGGGUGGAGCUUGGUCCGUCUCUGCAACACCCUCAACUCUCAAAUUCUCAAAGAAUAAAUUGUUAACAUCCCUGCCCA
Molecule: long non-coding RNA, 1508 nt
Filed under: Felis catus (domestic cat)
Lineage: Eukaryota; Metazoa; Chordata; Mammalia; Carnivora; Felidae
Description: lncRNA (ENSFCAG00000052648.1)
Source: RNAcentral